This is a long non-coding RNA of Solanum tuberosum (potato), 208 nucleotides long. RefSeq lists it as uncharacterized. Lineage: Eukaryota; Viridiplantae; Streptophyta; Magnoliopsida; Solanales; Solanaceae. The transcript is spliced from 2 exons. The record is from RefSeq and is a predicted model, not a curated record.
UCCGCAGUUGAAACCCUACUUUUCCGCCGCAUUCCCAAAAUUCACAUUUUCCUACUUCCUCAAACACCAAAAUGAGGCUAUUACUCUUUACCUUGUAAGGAUAAAGUCUGCGCGCACACUAACCUCCUAAACCUACUUGUGGGAUCAUACUUGGUAUGUUGCUGCACUUUCUUCUCUAUGGUGGUAGGGGCUGUUUGGUUGCUGUUUA